UUUCUGCUACAAAAGAACUUUAUUCUAUGCUAAUACUGAUACAAAACUGGUCUUCAGUAUAAUAAAUAAUAAAUUUAAAAAUAUUCAACAACCAAUGAGUUCACGAAACAAAACUAAGACAUUGACUAGAUGCUUGAGUGAAUGGCUACUAAAAUAGCCUCUAAAUGGCUACAAAAAUAGCCUCUAAACACUGAUACAUUUAGUACACAAUUGCAUUUCAUCAAAUGAAUUGAGAAUUUGAGACUGCCAUUUCAGAUAUUAUGCUUUGUUUAUAAAAUGUGCAUAGUGAAGCUUAGAUGUGAAAAUAACAAUAAAUUAUAUAAACAUAUAUUAUCGAUAUUUUAAAGUUCAAAACAAUAUUUGUACUACUAUUAAUAUUAAAAAAAUGCAAAAUGGACAAAAAUAUGAUACUGAAUAAAAAUCAUGUAUAAAAUGUUUACUUUUGAUUGACAUUUGCUUCUUACAUGUGUAACUAAAAAAAAUACCGGCCAAUGGGUCCACGAUUCAUAACAUAUAUUUGAAAUUAUUGGUAAAAAUGUAAACUAAAACUAAGAUUGUUUGCAUGUUCGAUGUUGACUAACUGUAUCUAUUUUUUUGGCAUAGAAAAUAAAACGGUAUAUCACAGGUACGUACUUUGUACACACUAAAUUACAAAAAAAAAUAUCAACAAUUUGGCAACUUGACUGGCAGGAUUUAAUGUGUAAUGGUAUUAAAUCAUUGAAAACUUGACAACAGAGACUGAACUGUUACAUGUUUCAGGGAAAGAUGGCAUGAAGUUUUUUUUUUUUAUUUAUUUACAAAACACCAACACUUAUCAGAUAAGCUAUUAAUGUUUUUCAUUUCAGAGUUUAAGUGAACAAAAAGCUUGCACCAAAUGUCAAGGGAGAAAUUCUUAUCAAUUUGCAUACAUGUAUGACAUAUGUAACAAGAAAUUAUACAAAAUGUCUACAGAUUUUUGUAUUCUGACCCCAAAAAUAUUUUUUCUUUUACUUUUUUCUUUUUCUUCCAAAGUCUAAAAAUAACUUUUCAAAUAAUAAAUAUAUCCAGUACAUUAAAAACAAUGUGUUGUAAGAUGACUGCUUGCAUAAGGUUAUAUAAAAAAAUAUCGCUAUUUUAUUCUUUUUUUUUAAAUUAGAAAGCUAGCAAAUAUCGUCAGAAAUCAUGCUCCUUCAAACUAAUAUACUUUCUUUUGGAUAUUGAGGUAUUUGAAGUAAAAUUCAAUCUCUGUUGCCUUUCAAAAACUAGUCUACAUAUAUAUAAACAAAUAAUACUUUAAACAAUGAUAUUUGCAUCAUGGGAAACUUCUGCAUAAAUUGAUAAUUCAUAUCCCUGUAAAACAUAUAAAUAAAUUUUGCAUGCAUAUUAUAAAGAAUUAUUGCUUUGAUACACAUAAUUUAGCAUAGUUGCUAGAAUCUGAUUAAAAAUAUCUCUAUCUAUAUCUACAUUUUACUUGCAUAGGUUUAAAGUGAACUCUAGACA
This 1479-nucleotide long non-coding RNA is filed under the name Mytilus galloprovincialis (Mediterranean mussel). Lineage: Eukaryota; Metazoa; Mollusca; Bivalvia; Mytilida; Mytilidae. The record is from RNAcentral.